AUGGCGGAAACCGAAAAGCCUUUAUAGAGUAGGUG
Regulatory RNA element from Aquimarina atlantica, 35 nucleotides. It matches the Rfam family "DUF805b RNA". Rfam says of the family: Bacteroidetes, Chlorobi (1 example), Proteobacteria. Lineage (Flavobacteria) NCBI's taxonomy places the organism in Bacteria, Pseudomonadati, Bacteroidota, Flavobacteriia, Flavobacteriales, Flavobacteriaceae. The record is from Rfam.